GCUUUUGUCGCUAUUGGGGACUACAAUGGUCACGUUGGUCUUGGUGUCAAGUGCUCCAAGGAAGUUGCCACUGCCAUCCGAGGGGCCAUCAUCUUGGCCAAGCUCUCCAUUGUCCCUGUGCGGAGAGGCUACUGGGGGAACAAGAUUGGCAAGCCCCACACUGUUCCGUGCAAGGUGACAGGCCGCUGUGGCUCUGUGCUGGUGCGUCUCAUCCCUGCCCCCAGAGGCACUGGCAUUGUCUCUGCUCCUGUGCCCAAGAAGCUCCUGAUGAUGGCCAGCAUAGACGACUGCUAUACUUCAGCCAGGGGCUGCACUGCCACCCUGGGCAACUUUGCCAAGGCCACCUUCGAUGCCAUCUCCAAGACCUACAGCUACCUGACCCCUGACCUCUGGAAAGAGACUGUGUUCACCAAGUCUCCUUAUCAGGAAUUCACUGACCAUCUUGUGAAGACCCACACCAGAGUCUCUGUUCAGAGGACUCAGGCUCCAGCUGUGGCUACCACAUAAGGGUUUUUAUAAAAGAAAAAUAAAUGAA
Molecule: RNA transcript, 535 nt
Organism: Grammomys surdaster
Lineage: Eukaryota; Metazoa; Chordata; Mammalia; Rodentia; Muridae
Gene name: 40S ribosomal protein S2 pseudogene
Exons: 1
Source: RefSeq, a predicted model, not a curated record